UACGUAGGGGGCAAGCGUUAUCCGGAUUUACUGGGUGUAAAGGGAGCGUAGACGGCAUAGCAAGUCUGAUGUGAAAGAUCGGAGCUCAACUCCGGGCCUGCAUUGGAAACUGUUAAGCUGGAGUACAGGAGAGGUAAGCGGAAUUCCUAGUGUAGCGGUGAAAUGCGUAGAUAUUAGGAGGAACACCAGUGGCGAAGGCGACUUUCUGGACGACCACUGACGCUGAGGCUCGAAAGCGUGGGGAGCAAACAGGG
This 254-nucleotide ribosomal RNA is filed under the name uncultured bacterium. Its description in RNAcentral is "partial 16S ribosomal RNA". It matches the Rfam family "Bacterial small subunit ribosomal RNA", at positions 524 to 777 of the family's 1533-position model. The record is from RNAcentral.